Molecule: ribosomal RNA, 231 nt
Filed under: uncultured bacterium
Lineage: Bacteria
Description: partial 16S ribosomal RNA
Rfam family: Bacterial small subunit ribosomal RNA
Source: RNAcentral
CGAAUCGCUAAAAGCCGUCCCAGUUCGGAUCGCAGGCUGCAACUCGCCUGCGUCAAGUUGGAAUUGCUAGUAAUCGCGGAUCAGCAUGCCGCGGUGAAUACGUUCCCGGGCCUUGUACACACCGCCCGUCACACCAUGGGAGCCGGUAAUACCCGAAGUCAGUAGUCCAACCUCGUGAGGACGCUGCCGAAGGUAGGAUUGGCGACUGGGGUGAAGUCGUAACAAGGUAUC